Molecule: ribosomal RNA, 454 nt
Filed under: uncultured bacterium
Lineage: Bacteria
Description: partial 16S ribosomal RNA
Rfam family: Bacterial small subunit ribosomal RNA
Source: RNAcentral
GAUGAACGCUGACAGAAUGCUUAACACAUGCAAGUCUACUUGAACUUCGGUUUGGGUGGCGGACGGGUGAGUAACGCGUAAAGAACUUGCCUCACAGAUAGGGACAACAUUUGGAAACGAAUGCUAAUACCUGAUAUUAUGAUUUUAGGGCAUCCUAGAAUUAUGAAAGCUAUAUGCACUGUGAGAGAGCUUUGCGUCCCAUUAGCUAGUUGGAGAGGUAACGGCUCACCAAGGCGAUGAUGGGUAGCCGGCCUGAGAGGGUGAUCGGCCACAAGGGGACUGAGACACGCACCUUCCUCCUUCGGGAGGCAGCAGUGGGGAAUAUAGGACAAUGAACCAAGACUCUGCUCCAGCAAUUCUGUGUGGAGGAUGAAGUUUUUCUGAAUGUAGAGUGCUUUCAGUUGGGAAGAAAAAAAUGACGGUACCAACAGAAGAAGUGACGGCUAAAUACGUG